UCUGGGAUCCGGUAAUAAGGGAGUCUGCCACUUUCAAAUUACCUGCUGGAAUCCGGCUCAAGACAAUUAUAGAUGAAAAAUCUUCCUGGUCUUCAGCCACCUACCAAAAAUUGAUGUUGGUUUUACACUUCCUAAAGUUGGAGCAAUGAUUUUCAUGACUUAGGGUGAGGAAAUAUCUGACCAGUUGAUGAAGAAUCGAGCGUGUGGAAGACAAAGGAGGAACAACCACUCUCAGCUUCUACCUGCCCCUGGGCUGAUGAAGGAGGCUGUAUCAGAGUGAAGGGAUGUACUCUCACCCAGCUACAGAUUGUGAUGAAUCCCUUAUCACCUGACUUUACACCCACUGUCCCCCAAACGCUGGAUUCGGCUGUAAUUGAGAAGAGGGCAAGACAAACUCCUCUGCCUUAUAGUCCUGUAUUCUCAAGUAAUCAAAUUUUAAAAUGUGUCAAAGAUUCCUACUCACCAGUUCUGAUCACCAAAUGAGCAAAAUGAGUGGGAAGUGCUUCAUUGCCAAUUUAGCCAAAAAUAAGAUGCUAAACACUACCACCUUCUAUGCAUUAUCUAUAAUAAGUGUAUGUAACAAACCCAAGCCAGUAAUAAAUAAGGCUUCAUUUUG
Odocoileus virginianus texanus is the source of this 616-nucleotide long non-coding RNA. RefSeq lists it as uncharacterized. NCBI's taxonomy places the organism in Eukaryota, Metazoa, Chordata, Mammalia, Artiodactyla, Cervidae. The record is from RefSeq and is a predicted model, not a curated record.